UACAGAGGUCUCAAGCGUUGUUCGGAUUCAUUGGGCGUAAAGGGUGCGUAGGCGGCGCGGUAAGUCGGGUGUGAAAUCUCGGAGCUUAACUCCGAAACUGCAUUCGAUACUGCCGUGCUUGAGGACUGGAGAGGAGACUGGAAUUUACGGUGUAGCGGUGAAAUGCGUAGAUAUCGUAAGGAAGACCAGUGGCGAAGGCGGCUUUCUGGACAGAUACCGACGCUGAGACACGAAAGCUAGGGGAGCAGACAGG
Molecule: ribosomal RNA, 253 nt
Filed under: uncultured bacterium
Lineage: Bacteria
Description: partial 16S ribosomal RNA
Rfam family: Bacterial small subunit ribosomal RNA
Source: RNAcentral